AGGGCUGCAGCCUGGCUGUACCUCUCCUAGACCCCAUUGAAGGGCUGACUGCUACCUAGAGAAGGUUCUCUGGUUGGAGGUUCCUCUCUUGUGGGAUUUUCCCUGCGAGCCUGAAUCUUCAGAGGAAUAAAAUGAAGAAUUUGAUAAUGGAGUUGGUGGUACUUCCACUUUUGUAAAUGGAUGUGGAAGAAGCUGCUAUUGCAACAAGUCCCUCCAUCUGUGAACCCAGCAAGGUGAGUUUCUAAGGCCCUUUGGAAAUCAAGUAGAAGCCAAACUAAGGCUGUGUUGUUCCUCAAAGUAUAGCAUGGGAUCUCCUAAGGAGGCACCACAGAAGUCUCAAUCGAGUUCUUGAGGAAAUCAAUGGGAGUUUGAUUGGAGCCAUAGAAAGCCAUGAAGGGAAUUUCAAGAGAUAAAAGUCUGGAGCCAGACAUUCAAAAAUAGCUUUUUAAGUAUGUGUCACUGACCUUCCUUAUGGCUUGCAAAUGCAGUCUGAUUACCCCAACUGAGGUUACUUUAAGGGGAAGGCACAAAAUUUGGACCAGACACUAUAAUACUCAGAAAAAAAAUCAAAUAUGAACUUGCUUUGGAGCAUGAGAUUUGAGUUGGGCCAUGAAGAGGAGCCUGGGCUCUGUUCUUACCUGUAUCUAGAUAUUCCCUCAUUCGUGUGAUUAAGCAUGGAGUGGGAUCAGCAACUGGGUUGGAGCAAAUUCACCAUGUACCUCUGCAAGGAUAUUUGAGAACACAUUUGACCAAAGCAAGGAGUGACUGCAGUACUGGGCUUGAGUGAUCUGCAUGUGAGCUCUUAUAUCUGUGAUGGUUUUAUCAGGAUAUCUCUGACCCAAAUAGAAAGUAAGAAAUCAACUGCCUUGUCCUUCAUUCCUGUUCAAAGAUGAAAACUGUCACGAGCUUUGCCUGAGCUGACUAUCCAGUGAGGGCUUGACUGUGUCUCAAGGACAAAGGAAAACCCCUCAGGUCAGUAUCUCUGAAAACAUGAAGGCAAGGGUACAGCCAUAUGGAGCAGAUUUGCGCUGUAACUGAUACCGAAGAAAAGCUCUUCCAUCAGAACACCUUCUGAAAUAGAGGAAGUCAGCAGCUCAGGAUCUCUCUUUUGGACCAGUGCAUGAGAAUCAUGGUCUGAGCAAGCUGAGCUGAUGGAGUAUCUCUAUGAACUGCAGAGGAUGUACCUGGCAGGGUCUGCACGUACAUGAGGUAUGGUGUGCAGGGAGUGCUCUGCCUAUGCGGGCACAACAGUAGGGAAAGCAUUGCAUCUCGAGGAGCCAUUCCAGCGUGUGCUCUCUCAGUAUUAAGAUCUCUCCAGGCUUCCUGUAUCUGGUAAUAUUGCUCUUGUUUUAAAUCCUUCUCAUAAUUUCAAGGGAAAAUUCUUUGUGACAAACGCUGUUGAUUUAAAACUAAUGUUUAGCCAGAAAUGGGUAAUUGUAUUAGACCAAAAAAAAAGCUGCUGUAAAAUCGGCCCCAGUCUGAUUUUUAAUUUACUGCAUCAUCAGCUACUUUUAUGAUACUAUUUAAUCUGCUGAAAUAAAACUAUUGCUCUAUGAAUGUCUCUAACGCUCAAGGAAGAUUGUUUUUAGCCAUUCUGCUCUUGAGGACCUGGAGCUGUUAAUUAUUACACAAAUUAUUCCUGCAAAUGCAUUUAUUUACAUUUAUGUUUUACUGUGAAGUCAUUUUUGACCCUUGGAGAGGGAAAAGGGACAUUGCCCAUCACUGCUUCGCACUGGCCAGAAAUCCUCCUAAAACCUUUUGCCUUUCCAUGGGAAAACAACUCCCAACAAUGCCAAAACAAUACCCAGCAGUGCCAAAACGUUGCCCUGUGCUUUUCCCAUGAGCACAGAUGGGUGCAGCAUUGGGUUUUGCCUCCUCUGGAGUGAAGAAAUCAACCUGUAGGGCCUGUUCCAAACCCAUCAUUGCCAGCAGCACAGCCCUUCUGGGUACAGCGGCUCUGGGGCUGUGUUCCUGCGCAGACUGCAACCUAAUAAUAAUUCUGCUUUUUCUUGGCUAUUAACUUCCUCCUGAAUUAGUGAGAAUGGAGGUGUUGCAAUGGAACUCCCUGGAACAACGCACCACCAGGUGAGAAAAUUGUGAAAAAGAGAACCUCCUUUGAAAUCCACCCAAAAACACACCUAGUUUGAAAUAAGAAUGAAGCCAGUUGACUGUUCUCUGCUCUUUUCAAUGAACAGCAGCAGCUCUCGUAAAGAUUACCUGUGGGAUAAAUGGAUGCAGUGGGAGGAAAAAGGCUCUGGGUGUGACCGACAGCAUACAUCCAUGGCAUGCGAGCUGCUGGGUUUCAAUAUUCCUCAUCCAUUUCUAUUGCAGCAUUAGGUUUACUGGCCCUGCUAAGCACCUGAGCACCUGCCUGUGCCGACAGUGGGAGUGGGCUGUUUUCAGAGUCGUUACAGACAAUUGAGUGAUGGCUACAAGUACAGUAAAACAAAUAGUUUUGAAUGCAACCACCUCUUGUUUCAUCCAAACAACGUCUGUUUGGUUAUUUCCUUACGGUCGAACGCCUGCUCCCUGGGCAGGCAGCAGAAGUCUCCUUUUACCUUGGUAAUUAGCUUGUUUGAAAGCUCCCACAAAUUCUUCCUAUCAUAAAUUUUGCAUUGCUCCGCACACAAUAA
This is a long non-coding RNA of Coturnix japonica (Japanese quail), 2633 nucleotides long. RefSeq lists it as uncharacterized. NCBI's taxonomy places the organism in Eukaryota, Metazoa, Chordata, Aves, Galliformes, Phasianidae. The record is from RefSeq and is a predicted model, not a curated record.